UGACUCAAAACAGACAGGAGAGCCACAUUCUGGCUCUCCAUUACUAGCGGGCACCUUAGACAAGUCACCUGAUGUCCCUAACUUAGUUCCACAGUUCUGAGGGCCAGAUGGGGAGCAGUGAAUUGGGAGUUUUGUAAGGCUGUGUGCAGAUGUCUAGUGUUGAUUUUAAAUGCUGAGGGGCCACGGCAGGGAGGGGAGGGCCAUCAGGGAAGGCUUCCAGGGUUUGGAAACGAGGGCAUGGAUCGCUGGGUGCAGCUCGUGGCGAAGGGCACCGGACUGGCCGGAGUGCUCAAGCGGGCGAGCAUCUUGCUGAGCCUGGUUUGGGAGGCACAUUUGUAACAACGGGCGGCAGACUCCUUGACCUCAGCUUCUUUCAUCUGCAGGAAGGACGCCCCCUGGCCCCGUGGAAAGACUGUCCAGCAGUCCCGGGAGGGGACGGGCAGGGAAGCUCAGUUCCCCCAUUGCCCUGACCUGCUCCGCUCCCUCCCUGCAGCCCAUAUCUCCGCUCACCAGAGGGAGCAGACCAGACUGUGGCCUCCACUGAACGUGUGCAGCAGGGUGUCUCCAAGCCUCGCCACUUAGGACCCUCACAAGUCCCUGAUCUUGUGGUUCCUCAGCAUUGUCAGGAGAAAUUCUGUGAUCUUGCUUAUUCCUAUCUUGGGAAGUCCUUCCCAAUGUCUAACCAAGAUCCAGACUGCCGAUGCACCAGUUCUCUGACCCUUGGCUUGACUUGACUGAUUUGAAAGGUUUUAAAGCCCUUGGAGAAGUGAACUGUGGGGCCUCCAAGCUCCUGGCUCCCAGCCCCAGGUGGUGCAGGAAAGGACUGACCCCCACAGCUGUGCGCCGGACUCCUGGUUUCUGUGCAGCCCCUCAUUGGACCCUUUCCCGGGCACAGCUCCCCACACCCCAGGAAGGAAGGAACUGGCCUUGAUCAGGCACCUACUUGCCUGUACCAAAAAGGAGAACCUGCUUCACCAGGUGGCCUGGGUUUCCUCUAAGAAGCCUUCCUGGAUUGACUGAAAGAUGAGGCUAAAUUCUACUAAGUUGACUGCCUCCUCCAAGAAGCCUUUGAGGGGAUGGAAGGGGGAGACCUCAGCCUCCAGCCCGCACAGCCCGCUGCACCCGGAGCCCCUGGAAUAAGACUUGGCGUCGCCCUUGCUCCCCUCCUAUCCCAUCCCGGUUCCUCCUGUGUUGUCUGAGAUGGAAGUCCCACCUCCCGUCUAAUAAAGACUCCUGACUCCUGAACAGCA
Long non-coding RNA from Myotis davidii, 1250 nucleotides. RefSeq lists it as uncharacterized. The record is from RefSeq and is a predicted model, not a curated record. The transcript is spliced from 4 exons. Lineage: Eukaryota; Metazoa; Chordata; Mammalia; Chiroptera; Vespertilionidae.